CCCGCCAAGGCCGGCCAGGACCUGCUGACGCUAGGGCAGGGGUCAAAGGUCAGGAAUGGGUCCAGCAGUGCGUCUGGAAAGGACCCAGCGUGCCCACGCUCCCGGCAAGCCAGAGCUUAAACAUCCCCAAAGGCGCCCGGGCCGAUGACGGUAGCUCCCAAGCGCCCUCCAGAUGCACUCUCGCAGGAACAACCCCAGGGACUUCCCUGACUGACCCCGCGUUGCUCUGCUUUGAAUCCCCGCUCUGUCGAUCUGUCGUAAUUUAACCAGAGGUCACCCUGAAGAGGGUGUCAGAAUCCCUGGAACUGGAGUUACAAUAGUUAUAAGCUUCCACGUGAGUGCUGGGAAUCAAACCUCAGAUAACCCAGAAACCUAUCCAGUUCUAUACAUCCAGAGCUGGAUUCAUCACCUUCUCUGUUUGUCUCUGUCUGUAUUGGUGCAUAGAACUGUUUGAGAAAGAUCAGAGGAUGUGCCCUUGUUGGAGGAGAUGUGUUGCUGGGAGAAGGUUUUGAGACUUCAAAAGCCCACUCCAUUCCCAGUUAUCACCUCUCUGCCUCAUGUUCAUGGAUAAAGAUGAAAGUUCUCAGUUACUGCUCUAGCACCAUACCUGCCUGAGGCAGUGCUCCCUGGCAUGAUGUUCAUGGACUCACCCUUUAAAACUGUAAGCCCUUAAUAAAGUCUUUCUUCUA
Non-coding RNA from Arvicanthis niloticus (Nile rat), 689 nucleotides. The record is from RefSeq and is a predicted model, not a curated record. NCBI's taxonomy places the organism in Eukaryota, Metazoa, Chordata, Mammalia, Rodentia, Muridae.